Molecule: unclassified non-coding RNA, 223 nt
Filed under: Hevea brasiliensis (rubber tree)
Lineage: Eukaryota; Viridiplantae; Streptophyta; Magnoliopsida; Malpighiales; Euphorbiaceae
Source: RNAcentral
GGCUGAUGCAAAACCAAAGUAGAGAAAGUGAGAGAAAGAUUGAGGAGAGAAAAAGAAAAGACCAUAGGAAUGAGAAGAGAGGGACUGAGGGAAAUUGGGAAGAUGGAUAAGAAAGAGCUGAAUAGAUUAGAGGAGGUAAAGGAAGAAAGGAGACAGAAGAGACGAAAUCUGAAAAGGAGGAGAAAACUCAAUAUUCAUUCAACUUUUAUCUUAAAACUGAAGG